UCCGGUUUGUCACCGGCAGUCUGGCGUGAGUCCCCAACUUAAUGCUGGCAACACGCCACGGGGGUUGCGCUCGUUGCGGGACUUAACCCAACAUCUCACGACACGAGCUGACGACAGCCAUGCACCACCUGUGAUCCUGCUCCGAAGAGAAGCCCUGUUUCCAGAGCGGUCAGGAACAUGUCAAGCCCAGGUAAGGUUCUUCGCGUUGCAUCGAAUUAAGCCACAUGCUCCGCCGCUUGUGCGGGUCCCCGUCAAUUCCUUUGAGUUUUAACCUUGCGGCCGUACUCCCUAGGCGGUCAACUUCACGCGUUAGCUUCGUUACCAAGGAAUUGCUUCCCCGACAACCAGUUGACAUAGUUUAGGGCGUGGACUAC
This 374-nucleotide unclassified non-coding RNA is filed under the name uncultured bacterium. RNAcentral describes it as "contains 16S-23S intergenic spacer region". The record is from RNAcentral.